Molecule: long non-coding RNA, 348 nt
Filed under: Setaria viridis
Lineage: Eukaryota; Viridiplantae; Streptophyta; Magnoliopsida; Poales; Poaceae
Description: long non-coding RNA (SVIR_LNC010667)
Source: RNAcentral
GAGAAGAUGAGCGUUUAAGCGAUAAACAAAUCAUAAAAACAAUAUUGCGCAGCCCCCAAGUUUCGAGCUCGAUAAAAAGGGAUCAAAAUUUAGGGUGAAAACUGGGGUGAAAUAUAUUAAGUGCUAAACAAUAUGAAUUUUAUCCACUAUUUGAUUAAAACAAAAAAUAGAAGAUAUAUAGCUUAUUAUGGGAAGAAGCAUCAUAGAUACUUGAUGUUCCACAAGUUUGGCAUGUCUGUGCUGUCUUCCCUCAUCAGCCGGUAGGAGCCCGGCCGAGUGACUUCCUUGACAAUGAAUGGCCUGUCCCAUGGAGCCGCCAGCUUGUGCAUGUCCUUCUUGCGUCGGAGC